AGAGUUUGAUCCUGGCUCAGGAUGACCUCUGGCGGCGUGCCUAAUACAUGCAAGUCGAACGCGGGCACUUGUGCCCGAGUGGCGAACGGGUGAGUAAUACAUAAGUAACCUGGCCUUUACAGGGGGAUAACUGCUGGAAACGGCAGCUAAGACCGCAUAGGUAGGGACACUGCAUGGUGACCGUAUUAAAAGUGCUGCAAGGCACUGGUAGAGGAUGGACUUAUGGCGCAUUAGCUGGUUGGUGAGGCAACGGCUCACCAAGGCGACGAUGCGUAGCCGACCUGAGAGGGUGACCGGCCACACUGGGACUGAGACACGGCCCAAACUCCUACGGGAGGCUGCAGUAGGGAAUUUUCGGCAAUGGGGGGAACCCUGACCGAGCAACGCCGCGUGAAGGAAGAAGGAAUUCGUUCUGUAAACUUCUGUUAUAAAGGAAGAAAGAGGCAGUCAGGAAAUGGACUGCAGGUGACGGUACUUUAUGAGAAAGCCACGGCUAACUACGUGCCAGCAGCCGCGGUAAUACGUAGGUGGCAAGCGUUAUCCGGAAUUAUUGGGCGUAAAGAGGGAGCAGGCGGCAGCAAGGGUCUGUGGUGAAAGACUGAAGCUUAACUUCAGUAAGCCAUAGAAACCGGGCAGCUAGAGUGCAGGAGAGGAUCGUGGAAUUCCAUGUGUAGCGGUGAAAUGCGUAGAUAUAUGGAGGAACACCAGUGGCGAAGGCGACGAUCUGGCCUGUAACUGACGCUCAGUCCCGAAAGCGUGGGGAGCAAAUAGGAUUAGAUACCCUAGUAGUCCACGCCGUAAACGAUGAGUACUAAGUGUUGGAAGUCAAAUUUCAGUGCUGCAGUUAACGCAGUAAGUACUCCGCCUGAGUAGUACGUUCGCAAGAAUGAAACUCAAAGGAAUUGACGGGGGCCCGCACAAGCGGUGGAGCAUGUGGUUUAAUUCGAAGCAACGCGAAGAACCUUACCAGGUCUUGACAUACUCAUAAAUGUUCCAGAGAUGGAAAGAUAGCUAUAUGAGAUACAGGUGGUGCAUGGUUGUCGUCAGCUCGUGCCGGGAGAUGUUGGGUUAAGUCCCGCAACGAGCGCAACCCUUGUCGUUAGUUACCAUCAUUAAGUUGGGGACUCUAGCGAGACUGCCAGUGACAAGCUGGAGGAAGGCGGGGAUGACGUCAAAUCAUCAUGCCCCUUAUGACCUGGGCUACACACGUGCUACAAUGGAUGGUGCAGAGGGAAGCGAAGCCGCGAGGCGAAGCAAAACCCAUAAAACCAUUCUCAGUUCGGAUUGUAGUCUGCAACUCGACUACAUGAAGUUGGAAUCGCUAGUAAUCGCGAAUCAGCAUGUCGCGGUGAAUACGUUCUCGGGCCUUGUACAAAGCGCCCGUCAA
RNAcentral lists this ribosomal RNA (1387 nucleotides) under human gut metagenome. RNAcentral's name for it is "bacterial SSU rRNA". It matches the Rfam family "Bacterial small subunit ribosomal RNA". The record is from RNAcentral.